AUAUAAGGGCAAACUUAUUGAAAAGUAAGGACGCAAAGCUAGAGUCUAAGGUAAAAUACUAUGACAGUUCGGCUGC
This 76-nucleotide non-coding RNA is filed under the name Vallitalea guaymasensis. RNAcentral's name for it is "Cyclic di-GMP-I riboswitch". It matches the Rfam family "c-di-GMP-I riboswitch aptamer", at positions 6 to 83 of the family's 87-position model. From Rfam's summary of the family: GEMM was predicted in a large-scale screen for bacterial structured RNA regulatory elements. Genes associated with GEMM are involved in a diverse array of functions, including chemotaxis regulation, signal transduction, secretion and chitin. The record is from RNAcentral. Lineage: Bacteria; Bacillati; Bacillota; Clostridia; Lachnospirales; Vallitaleaceae.